CUUCUGAACACAUCCCUAAUUGUGUGCAGGUAUCCACCCUGCUCUCUUGCAAGACAAGUGCCUCCAAGGAUGCUGCUUCUACCAUCAGCACUGGCAAGGAGAACCCGAUUGGUUUAAGUGUAAUCUCAUCAUGCUGGCUGGUGAUUGGUUCAAGAAUGGGCAUGUGGUCCUUUGUGUUUCAUUGCUGGCCAUUGAGACAUAAAGAGAGUUUGUGGGUAGCCAUGGAGACUGUUCUUAUUUGCUUUUAAGAGAUGUUGAAUGUCACUGUCUUUCCCUCUAUGGAUGGAAAUAGAGAAGUAUGUAGCUCCAAAUUCUUCUAGUGACAAUUAUAUAACUGUGAGAAAACAAACCAAAACAAAAUACCCUCCUAGCAUUACAAGGAGCGAUAAAAAGAAGCUAAUGCUUGAUCACGUGCUGGACUGCAUGGAUCAACAAACUCUGGAACCUGCUUUGUCUCUGAACUUUCUGUUAUGGAUGACGCUGUGUUUCAGAGGAAUUCAUAAGCAGAAUUGAAUUUGUUUUAGUUAACUCCUUAUUUGAUUGGAAUAUUGUCGACUUAACAAAAUAGUAGAAAGAGCAUUGGGCUGAAGUGAGAAGAUUUGAAUUCUAGUCCAAAAUCUGUUACUAACCAGCUCUUUGACCCUGAGAAGUCAUUUGACUUGAAUUAUAGUCUUUUUCUUAUAUGGGAAAGGUGGAGUAUACUCAGAGUCUCUCCUAAGUGCUAAGAUUCUGUGAUUCUAUGAAAUCAGACCAUCAGAGAGGAAUACUGCAGUGUUCUCCUGCAUGGGUUGUAAAUGAGAAAAAAGAAAGAAGGAGAGCAAAAUGACUUAAAGACAUUUUCAAGAAAAAAAGAGGAGAGAAGUCACUGAAAUGGAAAAAUAAACAUAUUAUAUAACUAUUUAUUGCACUAUGCAAUAAAAACAUCUUCAGCAACAGCCACACAAGUGCGGGUAGAGGGUCUGCUUUGAAGAGAGAAAAAAGGCUGCUGCAGAAAAAACAAACCUCAAUUCAUAAUUGGAGCUUUUGUUCUUUCUGGAUUGUUUUGUGAAGAACAUGCUGCCAAAAAACAUUUUUCUUCUGUAACCGCUUCUUUUGAAACUCCAUUCUUUUUUAUUUCAAGGAUGUUUAUUAUCUACUCAUUUCUUUUUAUUUAUUUUUGAAUCAUAUACCCCAAUGUCUAGAUGACUGGGACCACUAGGUUUCAUAUUUCCCAGAUGAGAUUAGUUGUACAGUUCAUUUUGCAGGUUUAUUCAGAGCAUUUCAAUGGCAUUUCACCUACAGUUCACCUAUAUUGAGUCCUAAGAAAUUGAAGGUGUUUCUUGAUAGUUCUCCUGCUCCAUCUUCUUCCAGGGGAUUGAUUUGGCUUCUUAUGUUUUUGUAUUUGGUUGCUCAUUAGAGAUAAGCCUGAUUAUUUGGCAUUGUGUAUUUUCUCUGUUUUAAAAAGGGAAAAUACAACAUGUUAUUAAUUAUUAUGAUAUAAUAAAAAAUGGAG
Molecule: long non-coding RNA, 1492 nt
Filed under: Homo sapiens (human)
Lineage: Eukaryota; Metazoa; Chordata; Mammalia; Primates; Hominidae
Description: HSALNT0326716
Source: RNAcentral